Molecule: ribosomal RNA, 535 nt
Filed under: Talaromyces sp.
Lineage: Eukaryota; Fungi; Ascomycota; Eurotiomycetes; Eurotiales; Trichocomaceae
Description: partial large subunit ribosomal RNA
Rfam family: Eukaryotic large subunit ribosomal RNA
Source: RNAcentral
CGGCAAGAGCUCAAAUUUGAAAUCUGGCCCCUUUGGGGUCCGAGUUGUAAUUUGCAGAGGAUGCUUCGGGUGCGGUCCCCAUCUAAGUGCCCUGGAACGGGCCGUCAUAGAGGGUGAGAAUCCCGUCUGGGAUGGGCGGCCGCGCCCGUGUGAAGCUCCUUCGACGAGUCGAGUUGUUUGGGAAUGCAGCUCUAAGCGGGUGGUAAAUUUCAUCUAAAGCUAAAUACUGGCCGGAGACCGAUAGCGCACAAGUAGAGUGAUCGAAAGAUGAAAAGCACUUUGAAAAGAGAGUUAAACAGCACGUGAAAUUGUUGAAAGGGAAGCGUUGUCCACCAGACUCGCCCGGGGGGGUUCAGCCGGCACGUGUGCCGGUGUACUCCUCUCCGGGCGGGCCAGCAUCGGUUUGGGCGGCUGGUGAAAGGCCCCGGGAAUGUAACACCCUUCGGGGUGCCUUAUAGCCCGGGGUGCCAUACAGCCAGCCUGGACCGAGGCCCGCGCUUCGGCGAGGAUGCUGGCGUAAUGGUGGUCAACGGCC